This 117-nucleotide ribosomal RNA is filed under the name Alkalicoccus saliphilus. The record is from RNAcentral. Lineage: Bacteria; Bacillati; Bacillota; Bacilli; Caryophanales; Bacillaceae.
UCCAGUGACGAAAGCGGAGAGGUCACACCCGUUCCCAUGCCGAACACGGAAGUUAAGCUCUCCAGCGCCAAUGAUAGUUGGGGGCUCUCCCCCUGCAAAAGUAGGACGUCGCUGGAU